GUGGCGGUGGGGAAGGGGACAGGUUACAGGAGAUAGGUUGGGUGAUAACUAAUACCCCAGAAAGCCUCGGUGAGCCCUCAUCAUGGGCUAGCUCUCUUCCACCGAUGGCAGAGCCAGGACAUGUUGUUUCCUUUACUGCUGCCCUUUGACAGAGCCGAGAGGAACUGAGCAGUCCCCUGGCCGUGGAGGCAGCUUCCUCCUUGUCUGUCACGUGGAACUUGGCUCCUGUCCUUCACAGCCUUGGGUCACACAGCUACGUCGCCUGAUCGGAGACAAGCCAGGAACAGCAUGGGCUCGGGGGCCAGCAUGCUGAGAGCCUUCCUCCUUCUCCUGGAUAUUGGAGGAGCUCAAGUAUUAGCAACGGGCAAGUCUGCUGGGGCAGAAAUUGACAUCAAGUACGCCGUCAUCGGGGCGGCUCUAGGUGGAGCCAUAGCGGCCGUCUUCCUGGCCCUGAAGGUCUGCAUGAUCAAGAAGCAUUUGUUUGACAUCGACUCCUCCAACUUGAGAAGCACAACCCCGGGCUUCAGGGACACUGUCACUCUGAAGAAGAGAGUCCCAAGGUCAAAGCUCCAUUUCUCCGAGAGAGAUGCAGAAGUGAUUGAGCUCUAAAUAAGUGACCUCUUCAGGAGAGGUUGGGCAGUCUGGGACAAUUUCCCACAGUUUCAGCCUCAGGGAUGUCAUGAAUUUGAACUUCCAAAGAUGGACCUUCAUGUGGAGCUCAAUACUCAGAGCAAGUAAUAUAUGGAAUGAAGUCUACAGUGUUUCUGUCCUAAAGGAAAAUAUCAAUUCUCUUCCACAAGAAGCUGACUACAUAGAUGGAGGCACAAGCACUUUAUCCUGCAGUAAGAAAGGAUGGAAGCCAAUAAAUCCACAGUCUAUCCUGGUCCUCCAUAGUGGAGCUGUUUAUGAUUCUAUGGUAGCAUUGUAUCCAUAUCAAUGGAACCCAUAGCAAAUGGCUCAUGGAAUGGAGAUGAAAGUCAAGACACAACCUCCUUAACACUAUUGUCUAUCAACAGUUACAAGAAGCAACAGAAAAUGAACUCAAAAGAGAGUACUUCUUUACUCCUCAAAUGGUCAGACAUCUUCUGGCACUUUCUCUGCAGCGUUGGCACAAGGCUGAAGUCAUCAAUGAUUCCUGGAAUAGAUCUUCACCAGGAGAGACUCCUCACUGUGGAGCCCACCCUGUGCCUGGUCAACAGCAUCUAGGGCAGCUCUCUGCUUUGCUCCCUUCCUUUGGGUGUUAAGUCUGAUCGUAGGAGUUCUUUGUGGGGCAGCAGCAAAGUGGCUGGUACUGCUUCAAGGGGCCCUAUUUUCUAGCGUGAAGAGAACACCGCCUGCUUAAAACAUUUCCUAUAGCAGCUGGGCCACAGAAAUGUCAUGACUGAUGCACCACCCCGGCAACGUCAGGCUCGUUGGCCAAGUGGACAGGCAGUUUCUGGAUACUCAUGGGCUCUGGGGUGAAUAACCCGACUCCCCCCAUCAUGGAGAUUGUGGCACAAGCCAGCUUCUGGACUUAUAAGUGAAGAGAAAGGAGAAGUGGCAUCCCUGCUUCCUGCCGUGCCUGUGGCUCCUUUACUUCCUGUCAGCCUCUUCCUGGCUGAGAAAACCGAGGCUGGGAAGAGGACAUUUUAGAAUAAAAGUUAACACUCCAGGCCUUCUUGAUGAGGUUUAGGGCUUACAUGCAAUGUGUGAAAUGAGUUGGCUAAGACUCAGAGCUCCAAGAAAAUGCUGUGUUGGUCCUUUUGGGGUUUUGCACACCAUCCCUGCUGGCUCAGGCAGUGGAGCACAGAAGUUCUUGGCAAGGCUGGAGAACCAGCUGGAAAACUUCAGGGCCUGGGACACAGUGGGCUGGGCAGGCCUGGGUCUUAACCAUUUUUCCCUUCUUUCCCCUGAGGGAGGGCAAGAACCCUGUAUGGGUGGCCUUACUUAGCUAAGUAUCUGCCUGGAGCAAGGAGAGGGCCUGGGAAAGAGGGCCUUCCUGUGGACAGAAGCAACCCAGAGACCACGUGGGGGUGAAGGCUAUUGGCACACCUUUGGGGGGCUUUGCUCUAAGCCACCUGCUAGGAAGUGGCCCCUCAGGAAAUAGCCUUAAGGCAGUAUGGCAGGUGCACCUGGAUGGCUCAGUCGGUGAAGCAUCUUGCCUUCGGCUCAGGUCAUGAUUCCAGAUCCUGGGAUAGAAGAACCCCAUGUCAGGCUCCCUGCUCAGCGGGGAGCCUGCUUCGCCUUCUCCC
This is an RNA transcript of Canis lupus familiaris (dog), 2231 nucleotides long. It is a transcript of the gene named transmembrane protein 273, with no coding region annotated. NCBI's taxonomy places the organism in Eukaryota, Metazoa, Chordata, Mammalia, Carnivora, Canidae. The record is from RefSeq and is a predicted model, not a curated record. The transcript has 7 exons.